UGAGGCCUAUGAUGAUCAACUAAUAUAUUGCCUGCAUUGCUUGAUUCAGCUGUAUGAUAAGAAUCUUCUUUUAUUCUGAGGCUGCC
Molecule: small nucleolar RNA, 86 nt
Organism: Elaeis guineensis (African oil palm)
Lineage: Eukaryota; Viridiplantae; Streptophyta; Magnoliopsida; Arecales; Arecaceae
Product: small nucleolar RNA SNORD34
Source: RefSeq, a predicted model, not a curated record